GGAAACUAGGGGUGCUUCCAUCUGGAAGAAUCUGGAGACAGGUGCUGCAUGGCUGUCGUCAGCUCGUGUCGUGAGAUGUUGGGUUAAGUCCCGCAACGAGCGCAACCCUUGCCUUUAGUUGCCAGCAGUUCGGCUGGGCACUCUAAAGGGACUGCCGGUGUUAAACCGGAGGAAGGUGGGGAUGACGUCAAGUCCUCAUGGCCUUUAUGACCAGGGCUACACACGUACUACAAUGGCCGAUACAAAGGGCAGCGACACUGCGAGGUGAAGCCAAUCCCGUAAAAUCGGUCUCAGUCCGGAUUGGAGUCUGCAACUCGACUCCAUGAAGUUGGAAUCGCUAGUAAUCGUGGAUCAGCGUGCCACGGUGAAUACGUUCCCGGGCCUU
Molecule: ribosomal RNA, 385 nt
Filed under: uncultured Desulfobulbus sp.
Lineage: Bacteria; Pseudomonadati; Thermodesulfobacteriota; Desulfobulbia; Desulfobulbales; Desulfobulbaceae
Description: bacterial SSU rRNA
Rfam family: Bacterial small subunit ribosomal RNA
Source: RNAcentral